AGUAAGCUGCGUGAGGGAUAGCAGUGGAGCUCUUUUUAUAAUUAGCGAUUUUUUUCGCUAAUUAUAAAAAAACGGGAACGAAUAGCCCGACCCGCU
This 96-nucleotide small RNA is filed under the name Flavobacterium aquicola. RNAcentral describes it as "Flavo-1 RNA". It matches the Rfam family "Flavo-1 RNA". The record is from RNAcentral. Lineage: Bacteria; Pseudomonadati; Bacteroidota; Flavobacteriia; Flavobacteriales; Flavobacteriaceae.